This 506-nucleotide ribosomal RNA is filed under the name uncultured bacterium. RNAcentral describes it as "partial 16S ribosomal RNA". It matches the Rfam family "Bacterial small subunit ribosomal RNA", at positions 29 to 523 of the family's 1533-position model. The record is from RNAcentral.
AGUGAACGCUGGCGGCAGGCCUAACACAUGCAAGUCGAACGGCAGCACAGAGGAGCUUGCUCCUUGGGUGGCGAGUGGCGGACGGGUGAGGAAUACAUCGGAAUCUGCCUAUUUGGGGGGGAUAACGUAGGGAAACUUACGCUAAUACCGCAUACGACCUACGGGUGAAAGCGGAGGACCUUCGGGCUUCGCGCAGAUAGAUGAGCCGAUGUCGGAUUAGCUAGUUGGCGGGGUAAAGGCCCAGCAAGGCGACGGUCCGUAGCUGGUCUGAGAGGAUGAUCAGCCAAACUGGAACUGAGCCAGGGUCGUGGCUCCUACGGGAGGCAGCAUUGGGAAAAAUUGGAGAAUGGGCGAAAGGCUGUUCCAUCCAUGCCGUGUUGGUGAAGGAUGCAUUCGGGUUUUAAAGCCCUUUUGUUAUGAAAGAAAAGCAGUCGGUUAAUACCCGAUUGUUCUGACGGUACCCAAAGAAUAAGCACCGGCUAACUUCGUGCCAGCAGCCGCAGUAA